This 915-nucleotide ribosomal RNA is filed under the name uncultured Ascomycota. RNAcentral describes it as "eukaryotic LSU rRNA". The stretch from base 283 to 915 matches the Rfam family "Eukaryotic large subunit ribosomal RNA", at positions 1 to 664 of the family's 3401-position model. Lineage: Eukaryota; Fungi; Ascomycota. The record is from RNAcentral.
AUCGAUGAAGAACGCAGCGAAAUGCGAUAAUUAAUGUGAAUUGCAGAAUUCAGUGAAUCAUCAAAUCUUUGAACGCACAUUGCGCCCCAUUAGUAUUCNASUGGGCAUGCCUGUUCGAGCGUCAUUUCAACCCUUAAACCUAGCUUAKUGUUGGGAAUGUACUGUAUUGUACUUCCUGAAAUACAACGGCGGAUCUGUAAUAUCCUCUGAGCGUAGUAAAUUUUUUCUCGCUUUGGUUAGGUGUUGCAGCUCUCAGCCGCUAAACCCCCCAAUUUUAAUGGUGGACCUCGGAUCAGGUAGGAAUACCCGCUGAACUUAAGCAUAUCAAUAAGCGGAGGAAAAGAAACCAACAGGGAUUGCCCUAGUAACGGCGAGUGAAGCGGCAACAGCUCAAAUUUGAAAUCUGGCCCUUGGGUCCGAAUUGUAAUUUGUAGAGGAUGUUUUUGGUGCGGUAUCUUCCGAGUUCCUUGGAACAGGACGCCUUAGAGGGUGAGAGCCCCGUACGGUUGAAUGCCUAGCCUCUGUAAAACUCCUUCGACGAGUCGAGUAGUUUGGGAAUGCUGCUCUAAAUGGGAGGUAAAUUUCUUCUAAAGCUAAAUACUGGCCAGAGACCGAUAGCGCACAAGUAGAGUGAUCGAAAGAUGAAAAGCACUUUGAAAAGAGGGUUAAAUAGCACGUGAAAUUGUUGAAAAGGAGAUUUAUGNCCAGAUUUUUGGGCGGAUCAUCCGGUGUUCUCACCGGUCACUUUGCACAGUUUAGGCCAGCAUCGAUUUUCSGUGGGGGAUAAAAGCUUUAAGAAUGUGGCUCUUUCCGGAGUGUUAUAGCCUAUUGUAUAAUACCCUACUGGGGAUCGAGGUACGCGCUUCUGCAAGGAGCUCGYUGUAAUGGUUAUCAAUCACCCGUCUUGAAACACGG